Long non-coding RNA from Girardinichthys multiradiatus, 1559 nucleotides. RefSeq lists it as uncharacterized. The transcript has 3 exons. NCBI's taxonomy places the organism in Eukaryota, Metazoa, Chordata, Actinopteri, Cyprinodontiformes, Goodeidae. The record is from RefSeq and is a predicted model, not a curated record.
AAGAAACUGCACCCUGGGCUCACCUGCGGCUGCAGGCCAGUCAGGAAGCUGGUUGUCCACUGACAGGUAGAGACCAUCACUGUGAGCGGGAUGAGCUUCUGGUUGAGGAUAUCUGUGCUGAUGGUGUUGAAAGCUGAAGUCCACAAACAGGAUCCCGGUGUACGUCCCUGCGUGGUCGUGAUGGAGCAGUGUAAACUCAAGUUGACAUCGUCAUCUGCCAACCUGUUUGCUCGUAUGCUGAGAAAAUGCUGGCAGACGAGUCACCUGCAGUGGAGGCCUACAGAAUGGAGGCGGCAAUGACUCUGCUCAGAAAAACUGUUUCGGAAAUCUCUCCCUCUGCUGAACUCUGCCGUUGUUUGAGUUGCUGUCUCCAUAUCUCUGUUUAUUUUCAAAUGCCCAGUUAAUAGUUACUGAAAAGUUAGAGUCCAGCUUGCAUCCAAACUCAGAGAAGUGAAGAUACAUUGACGUCUUUUUAUUCUUCUUCUGGUGUUUAAUGGCGGUUGGCAUGAAUCUGUAGGUGUGCAUUACCGCCACCACUGGUAUGGUGUGUGGUUCAACAUGGAUUAAUAUCUUAUAUACUCAAAUUCUAUUAAAUAAUUUUGUUCUUUUUAGGAAUCUUAAAAUAAUUUCUAUAUAUUUGCUCCCUCUGUUCUUUUGUAAUGAAUCUAUUAUGCUAAACCUUUCUUUAAUCCUUUCAAGUUCUCUCUUUGUGCUUCUUCUUUCCAGCUCAUAUUUCUGACACUCUAUAAAAAUAUGUUCAAUUGUUUCAUCCAUCCCAAAGUAGUCACAUUGUCCUGUAUUAUGUUUAUGUAUUUUAAAAAGUGUAUAAUUAAGUCCUGUAUGUCCUAAUCUUAGUUUUGUUAUUACCCUUUCCUCCUUUCUAUUCCUUCUUCCAGUUCUUUUUUCACCGACUGCCUUUUUGAUCCUAUAAAACCAUCUUCCUUUUCUUUCUCCAUCCCACCUUUUCUGCCAUUCUUCCUUCAAUUUCUGUUUGAUGAUGCUUUUUGCUUCUGAUUUACUUAAAUGUACUGUAAAAUUUAUAUGAUUUUGCGUUACCUUCUUAGGCAUCUUAUCUGCCAUCUCAUCUCCUUUAACCCCAAUAUGUGCUGGAACCCAUAAGAAUACUAUUGAUAACCCAUCAUUUGCAGUCUGAAUAAAGUUUGCUGUAUUUCUAGUAGAAUGUCUGGCCUGCUGUCUGAAUGGUUAUAUUUUAAACUCAAUAAUACUGAACUUGAAUCUGAACAAAUUAUUGUUUUUAAUGGUCUUAUGUCUUCCACCCACUGUACUGCUAAAAGUAUUGCUAAUAUUUCUCCUGUGUAUACUGAUAAACCAUUUGUGAUUUGUUUUCCUACUCUUAUUUGAAAUUCUGGUACUAUAAAUGCUAUUCCUAUUUUAUCAUUUGUUUUCAAUGCAUCUGUAUAAAUCUGAAGGUAUUGGUAAUAAUUAUUAACAUAUUUCUGUACUGUAUUUUAAUCUCAUAUACAUGUUCUUUUUGUUUUUUUCCAUUAAAGACAUAUCUACCUGUGCUUCUGGUAAAAUCCAGGGUGGUGCAACAGCUA